UGGGGAAUAUUGCACAAUGGGCGCAAGCCUGAUGCAGCCAUGCCGCGUGUAUGAAGAAGGCCUUCGGGUUGUAAAGUACUUUCAGCGGGGAGGAAGGGAGUAAAGUUAAUACCUUUGCUCAUUGACGUUACCCGCAGAAGAAGCACCGGCUAACUCCGUGCCAGCAGCCGCGGUAAUACGGAGGGUGCAAGCGUUAAUCGGAAUUACUGGGCGUAAAGCGCACGCAGGCGGUUUGUUAAGUCAGAUGUGAAAUCCUCGGGCUAAACCUGGGAACUGCAUCUGAUACUGGCAAGCUUGAGUCUCGUAGAGGGGGGUAGAAUUCCAGGUGUAGCGGUGAAAUGCGUAGAGAUCUGGAGGAAUACCGGUGGCGAAGGCGGCCCCCUGGACGAAGACUGACGCUCAGGUGCGAAAGCGUGGGGAGCAAACAGG
RNAcentral lists this ribosomal RNA (429 nucleotides) under Chloroflexota bacterium. Its description in RNAcentral is "Chloroflexi bacterium partial 16S ribosomal RNA". It matches the Rfam family "Bacterial small subunit ribosomal RNA", at positions 355 to 776 of the family's 1533-position model. Lineage: Bacteria; Bacillati; Chloroflexota. The record is from RNAcentral.